Molecule: RNA transcript, 4152 nt
Organism: Cercocebus atys (sooty mangabey)
Lineage: Eukaryota; Metazoa; Chordata; Mammalia; Primates; Cercopithecidae
Gene name: cytochrome c oxidase assembly factor 5
Exons: 3
Source: RefSeq, a predicted model, not a curated record
UAUUGCCGCUGGCUUCCGGCCCGCUGAGACUGGGAUCUCGCUUGCUCCCGAUCCGGUCGCCACCGUUGCAGUGGAAGAAAGUAGAGUGCGCAGCGGACGGGAAGCGCCGUCAUGCCCAAGUAUUACGAGGACAAGCCGGAGGGCGGCGCGUGCGCGGGCCUGAAGGAGGACCUGGGCGAGUGUCUGCUGCAGUCGGACUGUGUGGUCCAGGUAGCGCGGCCGGGCGCUCCCGGUGGUGACGACGCCUGCCCCGGGGAGGCCCGGCUCGGCGGAGGGCAGCGGGUCGCCCGCGGCGGCGGUUGGAGUUAACCAUCCCGGGCGGAGGUCACAGCUCGGGCUCACUGAACGUGCGCAGAUCCGCUGAGCUAGUUCCCUGUGGGGUUAAAUCGGAGAUACCGAUAAACCCACCCUGUCGGGUUUUUGCAAAGAUUAACCCAUUUCAGUUCACGAAGCGUGUAUUGCAUGCUAGCACUCUGCCGGGGUUCUGGAGACAUAAAGGAGAAUAAGCCAGGUUUCUUGCCUGCCUAGAAAUGAUGAUCUGCAGAAUUAAUGAUUCCAGAGAGUUGCGUAAACCUGGUACACUGCCCUGGCCAGUCGUGUCCCCUGCCCGUUCAGUUGUGACUGAAUGUGUGCUCAGUUUGCCUUGUGUUGAUAUGAAUUUGUUUCUAAGUUACAGUUCUCUGCAUUCUUGGAUGUUAAGUUGUAAAAAUAAAGCAACUCCAUAUUUUCACGAUUUGGUAUCUUGCUUCCCCUACGCUCUUACUUCACUCCCCUACUACAGACACAGGUCUCCUCAGCACCCUCUCGGAAUGCACUGAGGCAUGUAGUGAGGUUCAGAGUGGACCUGGGUUCUGGUUUCAGAGCUCAAAUAAACCACAAGUGCCUUUUCCAAUUACAGAGGCCCGACCAGAGGGCAUUCAAUUGUGUGCGGUUAUCUUUGCAUUGGGAGAUGUAGUUCCAGAAAGUUGCUGUUAUUUCAGAGAAAAGAUUACCCCCAAAUGGACAUCCACUAUAGGGCCGUAUUAGUGUUUCUGCCGAGUCACAAUUUUAUGUUUGGUUCACUGAUUUUAGCAGUCGGCCAUUCUCGCCUCCCAAGGUCUAGUAAAACUUGAGUUAUUAUAAAUGUAAGAGAUUAUGUCGCUCAACUUCCUUAUAUAAAUGAGGAAACUGAGGUACUGCUGUUUUCAGGCUCCCCUGUCCGGGGCUGUGUCCCCUCUGCCCCUUAUUCACUGGUGCUGCCAUUCAGCCAGCUCCUGGUAAAUGCCUCUUAAGUGGCAGGCAUGGUGCCUGACACUGGUGAUAACGAAGAUGAAUCAGUUGCAGUCACUACCCAUGUAAGCUUGGUGUCAUGGGAGAAAUAGACAUAGUCUAAAUUCCUGCCAUAAGGCUGUAAGCAUUUAUUAAACAUGUGUUUAAUGACUAGAUCUUGAGGAAAAAAAUGCCUUAGCCCAAUGGAGAGCAUCUGAUUUUGCUUCAGGGUUUGGAAUCUUCUGAGGUGACAUUUGAGCUGAGUCUUAAAAGUUGAAUAGCAGUUGAUCAAGUAAAGAAGUGGGAACUGUUGUGGUUGUGGGGAAGAUCUGAAAGAACAGCAAGUGCAGAGGCAGGGAGACGUGGGAGGGCCCAGAGGAGCUAGCGUCCUGCAAUACGGGAAUGCGAGAGAAGCCAGGUGUGAAGCCUGCGCGUGUGUCAGAGCGAGGAGACUGGAUUUUAUCUAGACGUUCAGCACGGAAGGCCACGUUGAUUAGUCAAGGGAAGAAAGUCCAAGCGGAGAAUAAUAGCAGCAGCACAGAGAAGUCCAAGCUGGCUUUCUGCGGCGGUUGAUACAGCAAACAUGUAUGGAGUGCCAGGCUCCGGCUCAGGGAGCAAACACUGAUGAAUGGGACAUGGCCUCUGCAGUGUAGAAAGCGGGGCCGUUUGGCUGGAAUGCUGUAGGUAGAGAUUGUGGUCGCGACAGCUGGUACAGACUUUGCUUUUCCUGCCAUUGAAUAUGUGGCCUUACCAGUGCUCAGUUUGGUCAGCCAGAAAACGUGAUGCUUAUAAACAGUUCUUUAGAUGGAAGUUCGUUUACAGGUUGCGUUAAAUUCAUUCUGAAUGGUGACUUCAGCUGGAGUGUAAAAGGGCGAAAGUGAGGAGGUUUGCAGGUCCAGAACCAUCUCCUACAGUCUGUUGGCGGCUGCUGCCCACCGCUCCUCACUGGGGACCCUGAAAGAGCAAGGAAAGCUCUGCUGAGGUCUUUGCUUGCUCUGUAUGGCAGCCUUAUUUAUGAUGGAAAUUUCUGAUUUCUUAAGUUCUUGAAUAAAAAGGUUAAUCUGAUCUUAGGGCAGGUUGGUGCUGUAGUCUCUUCUUGCCAGUCCACCUGAAACCUGCAGCACCUCACUCUAGGGAGAAAUUCAACAUAAACAUGUAUUUAGUUCUAGGAGAUUGUCAAUCUAGGGAGAUUGUCAAGGAGUUAGAGGGCCUCAGAGAAACUCAAUGGUAAGGAUGUAAAUUCCAGUGGGCCUGGAGGGAAGCAGGGAAAAAGCAGAUUCAAAAGGCAUCUCUUGAAGAGACUUCUUAGGAUUUAAUGACUCCUGGAUGAUCAGGACAAUGAAAUUCUGCCAGAGGAACUUCACUCAUCACAGGAUGUCUUCUUUGUCUCCACUAAGAGCUUCCAGACCUGCUGACUCUUCAUCAGAAUCACCUAGAAGUGGAAGGAAAAUCCCCUCGGCAGUGUUUGAAGGAAGGACACUGCAGCGCUCUAAAAUAUGCAUUUUUUGAGUGUAGAAGAUCAAUGUUGGAUAACAGAGCAAGAUUCAGAGGAAGAAAAGGAUAUUGAUACAUUAUGUUGAAACCAAGAUGGAAGACAACAGAUAUUUUCUCUGGUCAUUAACACAAAUAAGCCAAAACAGGAAACAACUUUUUACUAUAUCUGUUUGAUUGGACCAGAUUUCCCCUCCAUGGAACACUGACGAAAAUGGAUGAGUUCUGUUUUUGAAUAUGUAUAAAGUAAAUGAUUCUCUUGAUCCAAGUUAUUUUUAGAAGAAAAACCUAAUUGAACAGUUAUGGGUUGGCAGCAUAAUAAAUGUGUUUUGAGAAUUGUUCUAAAGCACAGAGAAUGGAAAGACUGUUAUUUGCAAACUUGACUGUUCAAUCGAAUUACACAAUUUGUACAGGCCACUGAUGUGACUGACAGAGUUGAUAACAUGGAGCCCAUCCAGAUGUCUGUUGGGAAAGUUUAGGAUGAACUUUUUCUUUAUUCAGUCUUUUCCUGUCUAGUUCGAAAAUAAAUUGUGUUUGAUUCCUUAGAGAAGAAAUACUUCUUGUGUGCUGUGAUUCACUGAAGUAAUAACCUCAGCACUUCAACAGAAUCCACAGGCGUAGCUGGCGCUCGGCCCCAGAUUGUGGUGCCCAGGCUCUUUACCAUCAUCUUCGGACUGCUUUUGUUUCCUGGUUUCAUUUUCAGGCUGGCCCUCUCUACAUAAUGGGCCAGUGUGAGCUCCAAGCCCACAUCCUUACGAUCCAUGAUUCAAAAGGGAGAGAGAGAACUUCCUUUUUCCGGGUUCACAAAUCAAAUCCUAUAAAAGGACUCUGGUCUUCCCAGGAUCACCUGCCCUUGCAUUGGACCAGUCCCUAUGGAAAAGGGGAUGGGGGCCUGUGAUCUUGGCCAGGCCUGGGCUAUCUGCGCUGUCAUUGCUGACUCCUGUCAGAAUCACAUGGAUGAGCAGUGAGCUGAAUCCCAAAAGGAAAGGGGUUUAGAGCAGGUGGAAACAACAGAUGUUCACUAUAGAAAGCAAGAAUGAAAACCAUGAAGUGGUUGAAGAUUAGCCUUACAGUAAUUUUAUUCUGAUCACUUAAUACAGUAGAGUCAAACAGGAAUCCAAGUUUCCAACUUUACUUUUGGCAUUGAAGAAUCACAAACAACCCUAGCGUCUUUAUACCUCCAUGGUUCACUGGAGUUGAAGCAAUCAGGGUGUUGUACAGCUCACUUGAGUUUGUAAAGGUUCUACUAAAAAGUGAGAAUUCCACCCCAGCAUGGGUCAUUGUUGCAGAAUACCACAAAGGUCUGUUGAGUGUACUCCUUUUCACUGCGAAAGGGACAGUCAUGGUUUUUUUCACUGUAUGCAUAUUUAAGUGAUAUAACUUUUUAUUAAUAAAAGUAAACUCUAAAAUGUA